GAGCACCGCACGUCGCGUGGU
Molecule: small nuclear RNA, 21 nt
Filed under: Arabidopsis thaliana (thale cress)
Lineage: Eukaryota; Viridiplantae; Streptophyta; Magnoliopsida; Brassicales; Brassicaceae
Description: snRNA_06094
Source: RNAcentral